GACGAACGCUGGCGGCGUGCCUAAUACAUGCAAGUUGAGCGAUGAAGAUUGGUGCUUGCACCAAUUUGAAGAGCAGCGAACGGGUGAGUAACGCGUGGGGAAUCUGCCUUUGAGCGGGGGACAACAUUUGGAAACGAAUGCUAAUACCGCAUAACAACUUUAAACAUAAGUUUUAAGUUUGAAAGAUGCAAUUGCAUCACUCAAGGAUGAUCCCGCGUUGUAUUAGCUAGUUGGUGAGGUAAAGGCUCACCAAGGCGAUGAUACAUAGCCGACCUGAGAGGGUGAUCGGCCCCAUUGGGACUGAGACACGGCCCAAACUCCUACGGGAGGCAGCAGUAGGGAAUCUUCGGCAAUGGACGAAAGUCUGACCGAGCAACGCCGCGUGAGUGAAGAAGGUUUUCGGAUCGUAAAACUCUGUUGGUAGAGAAGAACGUUGGUGAGAGUGGAAAGCUCAUCAAGUGACGGUAACUACCCAGAAAGGGACGGCUAACUACGUG
Molecule: ribosomal RNA, 497 nt
Filed under: uncultured bacterium
Lineage: Bacteria
Description: partial 16S ribosomal RNA
Rfam family: Bacterial small subunit ribosomal RNA
Source: RNAcentral